RNAcentral lists this unclassified non-coding RNA (1137 nucleotides) under Hevea brasiliensis (rubber tree). Lineage: Eukaryota; Viridiplantae; Streptophyta; Magnoliopsida; Malpighiales; Euphorbiaceae. The record is from RNAcentral.
GAGAGAGAGAGAGAGAGAAAUUAAAAGAAGUCAUUCAAAAGUCUUUUAAAGGAAAUGAGACCAAAUACAAGAAGAUUUUUUAAAUCAUUGACAAGAGAUGGGAAUCCAUUGCAUGCAACUGGCCACUUUUUGAAUCUAGAAUUUUUUUUUAUAGCAAUCCAACAAUUGAGUUUGAUAAAGAGGCCUUUAAAGAAUUGUAUGAAUGCAUCCAAAGAUUGGUUCCAAGUAUUGAUGUGCAAGAUAAAAUCAUGACUGAAUUGUCAAUGUACAAGAAAGGUGAAGGGCUUUUUGCCAUUCCCAUGGCUAUUAGAGAAAAAAAAAAACACAAAGUCCCUAGGCAAAUUUCUAGAUACUAGUUAACUAAAAACACAAGAAAGUUGCUUAUUAAUAUUGCUAAUUGUUUGCACUUUUGCAAUAUCACAGCUGAAUGGUGGAGUCUGUUUGGAAAUUCGGCUCCAAAUUUGUAAUGAGCUAUCAAAAUUUUGAGUUUGACUUGUAGUUCAUCUGGCUGUGAACGUAAUUGGAGUGUAUUUGAGAAUGUAAGUGACAUUUUUUCCAUGAUCCCUAUUGAAUACUUUAAUUUGAAUCAAUAAAUUCAAUAUCUAAUACUUUAUUAUAUGUAUUUACAAAUAUUAAUGUAAUUAUUAAAAUGUAACAAAUUCACACUAAAAAGAGAAAUAGGCUUGAGCAUCAAAGCUUACAAGAUUUGGUGUAUAUUAAGUACAAUCAAGCUUUGAAGGCUCGUCAUGAUUUGCGAGAUAUAAUUGAUACCAUAUCUCUAAAUGAUAUCGAUGAUUGUAAUGAAUGGUUGAUUGGAGAGAAGGGUACUAACAGUGUUCAAGUUGAAGAUGAAUUGGUUUUUGUUGAUGAUAAUUUGACAUGGGGUGAUGUGGCUAGGGCAUCCGAAGUUGGGGAAACGAGGACAGACACCAAACAACAACCAAUAUCUGAACCAAAUAUAUCAAGUUCAAGAGUAGUAAAUAUUCAAGAAGAAAAUCAUUCAGAGGAAGAUUAAGGACUAUAAAUUUGAUGAAAAGGAAGAAGAGGGAUUGGAGGAUGAUGAUGACGAUAUGGUGGAUGUUGAAGAAGACGAUGAUUAUAGAACUAGGAUUUCGAGUUUGCAUGACAUAAUGAAUG